GACGAACCGUCCAAACGUUAUUCGGAAUCACUGGGCUUAAAGGGUGCGUAGGCGGCGCGGAAAGUUGGGCGUGAAAUCCCUCGGCUCAACCGAGGAAUUGCGCCCAAAACUUCCGUGCUCGAGGAAGAUAGAGGUGAGCGGAACUUAGGGUGGAGCGGUGAAAUGCGUUGAUAUCCUAAGGAACACCGGUGGCGAAAGCGGCUCACUGGAUCUUUUCUGACGCUGAGGCACGAAAGCUAGGGUAGCGAACGGG
RNAcentral lists this ribosomal RNA (253 nucleotides) under uncultured bacterium. RNAcentral describes it as "partial 16S ribosomal RNA". It matches the Rfam family "Bacterial small subunit ribosomal RNA", at positions 524 to 776 of the family's 1533-position model. The record is from RNAcentral.